Molecule: transfer RNA, 71 nt
Filed under: Treponema sp.
Lineage: Bacteria; Pseudomonadati; Spirochaetota; Spirochaetia; Treponematales; Treponemataceae
Description: tRNA-Gly
Rfam family: tRNA
About the family: Transfer RNA (tRNA) molecules are approximately 80 nucleotides in length. Their secondary structure includes four short double-helical elements and three loops (D, anti-codon, and T loops).
Source: RNAcentral
GCGGCCGUUGUAUAACGGUAUUACCCAAGCUUCCCAAGCUUGAGACACGGGUUCGACUCCCGUCGGCCGCU